AUUGAACGCUGGCGGCAGGCCUAACACAUGCAAGUCGAGCGGAGCGGCGGACGGGUGAGUAAUACCUAGGAAUCUGCCUGAUAGUGGGGGAUAACGUUCGGAAACGGACGCUAAUACCGCAUACUAUCAGAUGAGCCUAGGUCGGAUUAGCUAGUUGGUGGGGUAAUGGCUUACCAAGGCUACGGUCCGUAACUGGUCUGAGGGGAUGAUCAGUCACAGUGGAACGGAGACAAGGUCCAGACUCCUCCGGGAGGCAGCAGUUGGGAAAAUUGGACAUGGGGCGAAAGCCUGAUCCAGCCAUGCCGCGGGUGUGAAGAAGGUUUUCGGAUUGUAAAGCACUUUAAGUUGGGAGGCGUUACCGGCAGAAUAAGCACCGGCUAACUCUGUGCCAGCAGCCGCGGUAAUAC
This 407-nucleotide ribosomal RNA is filed under the name uncultured bacterium. RNAcentral describes it as "partial 16S ribosomal RNA". It matches the Rfam family "Bacterial small subunit ribosomal RNA", at positions 30 to 526 of the family's 1533-position model. The record is from RNAcentral.